Molecule: long non-coding RNA, 568 nt
Organism: Osmerus eperlanus (European smelt)
Lineage: Eukaryota; Metazoa; Chordata; Actinopteri; Osmeriformes; Osmeridae
Exons: 4
Source: RefSeq, a predicted model, not a curated record
UGAAAGUUUAGAGAAUAUCUCACUGGGGUCAGACAACACAUCUCUAGUGGUCCAGCCCAACCUUGCGGUCCAGUCUGUCGUACUAACCAGUAACGACAUAGUCGGCAUCCAGUUCUCUGCACAAACAGGAUUAUCUAGUAAUUUUUCUGCUGAUAGAAUUAGACUGAAUACCAAUGCGUCUGAACUUGUGUCUGACAAUGGAAAGGCCACUGAUGUCCAGAUAUUCAUUAGAUUAUCACCAGGAAUGCAGCGUCGAAGUUCUGGCAUCUCUGUUGGCUUUGUGCUCUACCAGAACGACAGGUUCUUCAGGUCAAGGGAUUUCAGAGCCCACUUGGGCAGUCGUAGAAGGGUCAUCUCGGGAAAUGUGAAAGGAGCUGGAAGGAUGGGGGCCGAACAUGUGGAAAUGAUCUUCAGGCCAAUCAAUGUCCCCAACACAACCCUCUACGACUUUGCAUGCGUGUUCUGGAACUACAACAAAAGUGAAUGGAGCACUGAAGGGUGCUCCAAAGUCAACGUUUCCUCUGAGGCCCUCAGUUGUUUUUGCAAUCAUACCACCAACUUUGCUGUG